AGUGAACGCUGGCGGUAGGCCUAACACAUGCAAGUCGAACGGCAGCACAGUAAGAGCUUGCUCUUACGGGUGGCGAGUGGCGGACGGGUGAGGAAUACAUCGGAAUCUACUUUUUCGUGGGGGAUAACGUAGGGAAACUUACGCUAAUACCGCAUACGACCUACGGGUGAAAGCAGGGGAUCUUCGGACCUUGCGCGAUUGAAUGAGCCGAUGUCGGAUUAGCUAGUUGGCGGGGUAAAGGCCCACCAAGGCGACGAUCCGUAGCUGGUCUGAGAGGAUGAUCAGCCACACUGGAACUGAGACACGGUCCAGACUCCUACGGGAGGCAGCAGUGGGGAAUAUUGGACAAUGGGCGCAAGCCUGAUCCAGCCAUACCGCGUGGGUGAAGAAGGCCUUCGGGUUGUAAAGCCCUUUUGUUGGGAAAAAAAAGCAGCAGGUUAAUACCCCGCUGUUCUGACGGUACCCAAAGAAUAAGCACCGGCUAACUUCGUG
This 492-nucleotide ribosomal RNA is filed under the name uncultured bacterium. Its description in RNAcentral is "partial 16S ribosomal RNA". It matches the Rfam family "Bacterial small subunit ribosomal RNA", at positions 29 to 507 of the family's 1533-position model. The record is from RNAcentral.